GGAGGAUCCAAGCGUUAUCCGGAUUUAUUGGGUUUAAAGGGUGCGUAGGCGGCUUAUUAAGUCAGGGGUGAAAGACGGUGGCUCAACCAUCGCAGUGCCCUUGAUACUGAUGAGCUUGAAUACACUAGAGGUAGGCGGAAUGUGACAAGUAGCGGUGAAAUGCAUAGAUAUGUCACAGAACACCGAUUGCGAAGGCAGCUUACUAUGGUGUGAUUGACGCUGAGGCACGAAAGCGUGGGGAUCAAACAGGAUUAGAUACCCUGGUAGUCCACGCCCUAAACGAUGAAUACUCGCUGUUAGCGAUACACAGUUAGCGGCUAAGCGAAAGCGUUAAGUAUUCCACCUGGGGAGUACGGUC
RNAcentral lists this ribosomal RNA (358 nucleotides) under uncultured organism. RNAcentral's name for it is "bacterial SSU rRNA". It matches the Rfam family "Bacterial small subunit ribosomal RNA", at positions 527 to 887 of the family's 1533-position model. The record is from RNAcentral.